CUAAUUCCUAGAGGAAGGAAUUGGGCCAAAUCCACUCGGGCUAGGGCGGGCCGUAAUGGCUCCCCCGAGGGACAAAUCCUGCCUGGAACCCGUGAGGGUGAAGGGAUGUUAAGAGCUGCUCACGACGCCAGUGGAAAGCCCGAGGUGGCGAGAGGGCCAGGCGAGGGAUAGCCCUGGGCCGUGAGCGGUAACAGNNNNN
Molecule: long non-coding RNA, 199 nt
Filed under: Manihot esculenta (cassava)
Lineage: Eukaryota; Viridiplantae; Streptophyta; Magnoliopsida; Malpighiales; Euphorbiaceae
Description: long non-coding RNA (MESC_LNC010300)
Source: RNAcentral